AAAAGCUCGUAGUUGGAUUUCUGUUAAUAAUUUAUAUAUAAUAUUUUACGAUAUUUAUAUAAUAUUAACAUAAUUCAUAUUACUAUAUUUUUAUUAGUAUAUGAAAUUUUACUUUGAGAAAAUUAGAGUGCUUAAAGCAGGCAUUUGCCUUGAAUACUCCAGCAUGGAAUAAUAUAAAAGAUUUUUAUCUUUUUUAUUGGUUCUAAGAUAAAAAUAAUGAUUAAUAGGGACAGUUGGGGGCAUUCGUAUUUAACAGUCAGAGGU
Molecule: ribosomal RNA, 264 nt
Filed under: Cryptosporidium sp. Brandt's vole genotype III
Lineage: Eukaryota; Apicomplexa; Conoidasida; Eucoccidiorida; Cryptosporidiidae
Description: partial small subunit ribosomal RNA
Rfam family: Eukaryotic small subunit ribosomal RNA (bases 108-264)
Source: RNAcentral